UACAGAGGUCUCAAGCGUUGUCCGGAAUCAUUGGGCGUAAAGAGCGUGUAGGCGGCCCGGUAAGUCCGCUGUGAAAGUCGGGGGCUCAACCCUCGAAUGCCGGUGGAUACUGUCGGGCUAGAGUGCGGAAGAGGCGAGUGGAAUUCCUGGUGUAGCGGUGAAAUGCGCAGAUAUCAGGAGGAACACCAAUUGCGAAGGCAGCUCGCUGGGACGUAACUGACGCUGAGACGCGAAAGCGUGGGGAGCAAACAGG
This 253-nucleotide ribosomal RNA is filed under the name uncultured bacterium. RNAcentral describes it as "partial 16S ribosomal RNA". It matches the Rfam family "Bacterial small subunit ribosomal RNA", at positions 524 to 776 of the family's 1533-position model. The record is from RNAcentral.